This 292-nucleotide long non-coding RNA is filed under the name Mytilus galloprovincialis (Mediterranean mussel). Lineage: Eukaryota; Metazoa; Mollusca; Bivalvia; Mytilida; Mytilidae. The record is from RNAcentral.
AAAAUUGUGUUUUGGUGAUGGUGAUGUGUUUGUACAUCUUACUUUACUGAACAUUCUUGCUGCUUAAAAUUAUCUCUAUGUAUAAUGAACUUGGCCCAUUAGUUUCAGUGGAAAAUGUUAGUAAAAAUUUACAAAUUUUAUGAAAAUUGUUAAAAAUUGACUAUAAAGAACAAUAACUCCUAAGGGGGUCAAUUGACCAUUUCAGUCAUGUUGACUUAUUUGUAAAUCUUACUUUGCUGAACAUUAUUGUUGUUUACAGUUUAUCUCUAUCAAUAAUAAUAUUCAAGAUAAU